RNAcentral lists this ribosomal RNA (254 nucleotides) under uncultured bacterium. RNAcentral's name for it is "partial 16S ribosomal RNA". It matches the Rfam family "Bacterial small subunit ribosomal RNA", at positions 524 to 776 of the family's 1533-position model. The record is from RNAcentral.
UACGUAGGGGGCUAGCGUUGUCCGGAUUUAUUGGGCGUAAAGAGCUCGUAGGCGGUUUGGUAAGUUGGAUGUGAAAUCUCCAGGCUCAACUUGGAGGGGUCAUUCGAUACUGCCAUGACUAGAGUUCGGUAGGGGAGUGUGGAAUUCCUGGUGGAGCGGUGAAAUGCGCAGAUAUCAGGAGGAACACCCGUAGCGAAGGCGGCACUCUGGGCCGGAACCGACGCUGAGGAGCGAAAGCGUGGGGAGCGAACAGG